CAAAUAAACUACAAUUGCACUCACACUGUAGACUGGUUACACAACUGGCACUAAGAACGAGUUACACAACUGGACUUUGAAAGUGGUCCAAACACCCCUAAACAAAGAUUAAAACGUUAGCAGUAUAAUAUUUGACUCUUCUGUUUUGGAAGCAGUACGAAUUGUCAUAUAUACUGUAUAUAAAUCAAGGUGGGGUCAUGCAAAGUUACCUUCAUCGAUAUUUUCUCAGGUCUCCUGAAUUUAAAUUAAUUGAAAAAUCGUGGGGGUGGGGGAUGAAAGGAGAGAGAGGCGGGUAACUAAAAUAAAGUAAAUAUAUGCUCCUAAAAUCAUGCCUAAAAUAAAUGAAGCAAUAAUUAUACCCUUAAUUUGAAUUAUGGUACAUAAAUUGAAAAUUGAUAUGCUUAAAUGUAAUAAACACAAACCUUAAACAUGAGAGGUAAUAAGGUUUGCUAUAUGGUAUAAAUAGGUAAAAAUCCCUUUAAUUUGCAUAAGAUGAGCAGACAACCUUUCAAAGAGGCUCAUGCCAAUUAUAUGUCAACUGAUCCAUAGCCCAUAACGCGUCAGCCUCUUAUUGGGCCAGUUUGAAGGCCCAAAACGCUGAAAGUCUCACUGAGGCAACUUUUGUUUAAAAUCAAUACUUAUUUGAAUAUUUUAGCAAUGAUGCAUUUAUUUACCAAUUAAUUAGGGCAACCCCCACUUCCAACCAAGAGGUUGUGAGUUCGAGUCUCCCCAAGAGCAAAGGUGGGAAGNNNNNNNNNNNNNNNNNNNNNNNNNNNNNNNNNNNNNNNNNNNNNNNNNNNNNNNNNNNNNNNNNNNNNNNNNNNNNNNNNNNNNNNNNNNNNNNNNNNNNNNNNNNNNNNNNNNNNNNNNNNNNNNNNNNNNNNNNNNNNNNNNNNNNNNNNNNNNNNNNNNNNNNNNNNNNNNNNNNNNNNNNNNNNNNNNNNNNNNNNNNNNNNNNNNNNNNNNNNNNNNNNNNNNNNNNNNNNNNNNNNNNNNNNNNNNNNNNNNNNNNNNNNNNNNNNNNNNNNNNNNNNNNNNNNNNNNNNNNNNNNNNNNNNNNNNNNNNNCAGCCUCUCUACCCCAGGGUAGAGGUAAGGUCUGCGUACAUACUACCCUCCCAAGACCCCACUAAGUGGGAUUAUACUGGGUUGUACUUUUUUUUAGUUGCUCUAGGUUACCCUUUAAAAUAAAAUGAGGUGCGCCACGCGAAACAAAAAUCAUACAUUGCAUGGCCCUCUUAAUCAAAUUAAAAAUUCUUAGAAUUCGGGACGUGUCGUUUAGCGAAUCUCAUGGCCUCCUGCAAAGUUAAUAAUACGCUAGUCGCUUUAGGUGCUUUUUAAAUAAUUUUACCUUCCUAAAGAUGGGUGUCCAUUUCAUGCGGCCGAAAUCCAAAUCCCAAAACGUUGAAUAAGAAUGUGUCGAGGAUCCGGGUUCACUUAUGUGACGUGAUCCAAAAAUACGUUUUUAAAAGACGUUCACUUUCCAGAAAAAUAUUUAACUAAAAGAGGUAAAUAAUUCUAAAAUUUCACUGUAGGAUGACACGUAAAAAUCAACUUUUAGCCAUUUAUAAUAAUUAAGUGACCGUGCUAGAACCACGGGAUCCAGGGAUGCCUAACACCUUCCCUCGGGUCAACAGAAUUUCUUAUUCAGAAUUUCUCGUUCACAGAUUCCAAUUGGAAAGUCAAAAGUUUGCCUCGAUUCGGGAUUCAAAAUAAACCGGUGACUUGGGAAACCAAAAGCCAAACAUAUCCCAAGUGGUGACUCUAAAAAUAAAUAAAUAAUCUCAUUUCGAAUAGUGUCGCUUAAAAUGAAAAAACUCCCUUGUACAUUCAUCCUUCAGGUGUUUAAAAAGGAGGCGUGACAGCUCUGGCAACUCUGCUGGGGACGCAAACCCAGAACUUGAGUUCAGGGUUUAAGAAUUCGAGCAUAUUAUAAUUGUUAUAUUUGGCUUUAUCUGAUUUUCCUACGUGUUCCAUGCUAUACGUGCUAAAUGUUUUACCGCCUUGAUAUGUGUUGAAUUGUAUAUAUAAAUUGAGACGAAUCCCUUCCUCUCUCUGAGUUUUCUACAUCAUGGAGAAGGGUGCACUUCGUGUAGCUUCUCUUAUAUUUAGAGUCUUUUGCCUUUUAGAAUGAGGUUCGAAUAAGUUGCUAAGCCGGUGGAGCUUCUGUAUCCCUGGUAUGCUGCCCCCAGCUCGAGUUAUCAGCUCGGGUAAGCCAGGUCUAGAACAAUUAACCUAGGGAUUAAACCUAGUAUAACAAAGCCUCAUGCCGGAACCCUAGUAGGAACGUUUGUUUGUAUCAUGUGCAUUUGGACUUAGGGCACUCAACACAGGGGUUGGGUCCGUCUAGGACAGGUAACCCAAAAUGAAAGACCAUCCUGAUGCAUCUUGCGUGCUACUUGCGCAUCUAUUUGCUCGGAUUUUCAUGUUGAUAGGCUUUUGUCUAAUGAGAGAAAAUUGAGAAAAUAGCAGUGUUAAGACUACGUGAGGGUAACUACUUGUUUUGAAAAAACCAAUGCCCAAAUAGAACCGAAAUGAUGCCGGAUUUUUGAAAAAAUAAAUAAAAAGGAAAAUAUUUGAAAAAAAGAAAAGAUUGUUGGUCAAAAAAUUAUAUUUGACUUUGGCAAAUUGCCCGAACUACGCUGGUUUAAUUCUUACCGGAUGUGAGAUACGUCGGCAAACCUCAUCGGGUCAAACCUCCCUUUUGCAAAAAUAGCCCAAAAAAAUAUCAAAAUUUUAAUUUUGUCAUAAGUAAGUCGGGUGAUGCCAUUCUUGUUUAAAAUAAGAAGGUUGUUUUUGCAAGAAUAGCCACCAUGAGUAUUUUUAAAUAGUUUGGGGGCACAACCUUAAAAUCUUCUUCCCAGAAGUGCUGAAAGACCGUAUUUGCAAAACCAAGUUCUUGUUUUCCUAAAUGAAAAAAGUUUCUACAAAAAUAGCCAUUUUUGUCUUUUAGGACAAAAGAAAUCAUUAAAUCCUCUUUAAAUAAAUGUUGAGGAUGAAUACCACCAACAUUGAACCCUUCUCAGUCCUGAGUGAGAUCCCUUUGAAGCUCCACAUAUAGUGGAAUGAUUGAGGAAAAGAUAGCAGAGAAACCGUGGUCAAGAUUUUGGGUAGUCUCGUUGGAUUGUUGGACAUAAAACCAUGAACAGAUAUAAUUGAAGCACUAAUACCAUUCUGGGGCCCAACUUGUAAUUUAUUUCGGUUCUCGGAUUUUGAACUUACACCUACACUAAAGGAGAUUGCGGGAUAUGCGGGUCUCAACGGGAACCUCAGGAGUAGCUAUCCAUCCGCACCGAGACCGGUAACUGUCCUUAGAUUCUUGGACCAGUUGAGCAUUCGUCGGGACAUUCAAGAUAAGCAUCUCUCAGAAGGGUGUUGUACACUUCAUUUCUUUUACCACUGAUAUGGCAACCCGAAAGGUUUUGAGGAACCCAACAUAGUUUGACAUAUGCUGGGAACAAAGAUAAAUGAGAGGCUCGGCGGGGAUUGGCAUUCAUGGUAGCUUUUAUGGGAAUCGUGGUUUUUCCAAGAAAAGACGGUCACAUAGACAUGGGCCUUGUGGGAAUGUUGGAUGUCACUGUAAACAAGCCUACUAGAACAGUGGGUCCCUUGAUUAUGGCGGAAAUGUAUCGAGCCUUAACCAUGUGCCGAGAGGGUAUGAAAUUCUUCCAGGGUUACAGGAGCACCUUUGUCAUCGCACGGGGUAUAUGAACUAUGGUCUAACCAGUCUAAGUUGUAUUACGGAGUUCGAAACUAGGGUAACAAGUAUUGAGUUCCCCAAGGGCACUGAGGCUUGGUUGUCUUGCGUGAGAUCUUUGGCUGCGGGUAAAGUCGAAUAUACUUUCGGAUGGCUUCCUGCUACUGAGGUUGUGUACACAUCGACAAAGGUACCUUAUAUUCUUUUGAUGGGUGUUUGAAGCAUUCAACCUUACCCUCCCCACCGAGUCUUGAGGAAACUUGGAAGAUUGCAAAUCGUCCACGGUGGACCUCAGCGGACAAAUCAUUGAGUUAGGACUAAAAGCUGCAUUUUCGAAAGAUAAAGUCUGACAAAUAUGGAAUGAGUGCAGAUACCUUGAGCCUAUGACUAUAGUAUAGGAUUUGGCUAGAGGUGAAGUGGACCCCAAAUAUUUGACCUGGUUUGGCAAAAUAUUUCAAAUCCCUAAGAGACCCGCCAAAAGGCCACAUGUACAACAAUUCACAGACAGGGCCCAGGUGCAGUAGGAGUGGCUAGCCAAAGAAAAGGAAUACCAAGUGAAAAUAGGGAAGUUGGAGCAACAGGUCCGAGAUCUUUAAUUUGAAAAGAGUGUGUAAGCUGCAGUUAAUGAAGUUGAUAAAAAGAAACUGGCCCAAGAGAAUGAAGCUCUUAAGGCUCAAAUUCAACAAAUGAAAAUAGCUGCCAAAAAUCGAGAAAGAAGUUGUUCUGAUGAGAGGUUGAUAAAAGAGCUAAAGAAACAAGUCAUAGAAUACUAGGAAGAAUUGGAGAAAUCUGAAGAGAACAUGGCAAAGCUUUGGGCACAGUGGGCAAAGAAGACAUAGGAAAGAGCUCAGUUUGUACAAUAAAUGAAAAGAAAUAAUGAGGGAACCAUUGUUAAUAUGAAAAGGAAAAUGAACGCCUUUGAAAACAAUGCUAUGGGCUAAUCGCCGAAAUGGAGAAGGAAAUAAAACUGUUGCAAGACCAGAACUUCCAUGACUCCCAGGUGUUAGAGGCUCGUAACCAGCAGAUAAGCCAGCUACUCCAAGAAAAGGGCCGGAUUAGGGAAAGAAUCAGAGGUAUUGCACAUUCUACUAUCAUGAAAUGUCGGGCCGGUGAACGAAUGGGUCGUACCACUUUCUUUGCUACAGUGAUGAUAUUUCUUCAUCAGGUUUUGAAUAAUCUAGAGCAGUUACAAAGGGGUAUUGCACGUAGGCCCGCGGAGAUGCCGAAUUAUGCCCCGCGGGCCCCAUGAUUUGAAGCUUUAAUGUACUUUUGAUCUAGUUAUCGAGUAUGUAUUUUGUUAUUUCGAGUCUAUUUUGUAAUUUUCAUUUUAAGAAAUCAAACGGUCUAGUAUCUUUGUAAUCAGAGUUUUAUUAAUGUAAUAAGAGUUUUAUUAAUGAAAAAUUGAAAAUUUCAAAAAUUGUUUCCUUAUCUUGCAUUCGUUUUGCAUGAACUACGCCUGGUCUGAUUCAUGCUGGGUCAUGAUAUGUAGGAAAUAUCCAUAGGAUUAGACCGUUACCAAAUGAAAAAGAUAAAGGAAAGAGAGAAAAAAUAGGAGAGAAACAAGAAAAGAAAGAGAAUGAAAAGAAAGAGGUGAAAAACAAGAGAUAAAGAAAAACAAAAGAGAUAGAAAGAAAAACCGAAAAGAAAAUAAGAAAUCAAACGAAAGAAACAAAGGCAUAAGUGAGGAAAAGAUGAAAGGAAACAAAAACCAAACAAUGUUUCAAUCGGAAAUAAGGAAAGCCGGGAUGAUGCAAGCAGUCGAGGAAAUGCAUAAUAGAAUCUGUUAACUGCUUAGGUACAUUCAUUCCCCCAAACAUGCGGUUAUCGAAUCUGUUAAUUCCCAUACCACUAACUAAGUUGGUGUUAACAUUGAGUUCAGGCAGGUGGUUAGUUGAUUGGCAUUCUGGAAAUCCAUUCUUACUACACUCGAUCAAAAGACAAGCUAAAAAUGAUAUGCCAAGAAUCAGAUACCAGUAUUGUGGACCCGACAAAAGAGGUAGAGGUGAUGAAUGUUAACGCAAUGAGGGAAGAAAUGUAUAAGAUGAGGCAGCAAAUUGCCGAAAUGCAUCAGGCAUGGGCUAAAGGUGAGCCGGCGUCAGUUUAUCCCGCCAAUCCAACCUAUAUCCCACAUUUGGUUCAGUCUCAGGAGCCUUCUACUGUGAACUCAUCUCCCGCUUUCCCUUUCUACCAACAGAGUUCUGGCACCACCUCUGUCACACCUCCUGUGUAAGGGUAUAUAGAAGUUCUUUCAAUUAAAGGAUAAUCGAAACGGAAUUUAUUAUUAAGAUUCAGAGUCACCACUUGGGAAAUUAAUAGUGUCACAAGUUACUGGUUGAACCCUGAAUCGAGGAAAAUAUGACUCUAUUUAAUAGUCCGCGAGCCAAAAAUCCGAGAAAGAAAUUCUGUUAACCUGGGAGAAGGUGUUAGGCAUUCCCGGGUUCCAUGCUCUAGCACGGUCAUUCAACUGCUAUAUUGGCUUAGUUAUCUGAUUUUAACACAUUUUGAACCUUUAUGCCGAUUUUAGAUUUUGACCACUUUUAUUCAAUUUUUUUAAAAAAAGUUGAACAUUGUUUAAAACGUGUCUUUAGAUCGCGUCACAUGAAAUGCACCCGCAAUCCUGAACACAUUUUAUUCAACAUUUUGGGAUUUGAUUUGGGUCACAUGAAAUGUACACUGGAACGUAGGAAAAUAACAUUAUUAAAUACGCGCAUAAUGCAACUAAUGCAUUAUUAUCUUUGAGGAAGGCCAUAAAAUCGCUAAACGGCCCAUCCCGAAUUCUAAGUAUUUUAAUAUAGAUAUUUAAAAAAGGCCACGUAAUUUAUGCAUUUUGUUUGGUGAGGCUCAUCUCAUGUUUAUUAUGCAAAAGCCAACCUAAAAGCAAUCUAUCAUUUGUCUAUUGAAUUUGUCUCUUAAAGGACCUAGUUAGUUAACAUUAUAAAAUUCGGACCUCAAGUUCAUGUCCGGAUCCAAACAAAAGGAAGAAGCCUCUUCAUUUGAACCCGCAACCUAAAUCAAAGGUCCUAAAUUUACAUUAUUUUAAAUUACGAUUUAAGGCCUUUAAGCCCAAAAUUAAACUAGAGAAUUUUAGGUAGCUUUGAUGAGGGUGGGCCUGUUCAAAAGGCCUGAACUGAAAGUAAGCUGAACUUACAACUAAAAUUAACUAAGCAAGUAAAAUUAACCCAUCAGACUUUUAGAAAAUAAACAUCUUAUACUAAUCAAUUGACCAAUACAUGAAACAAUAGGCAUAAAUUAGGAAAGAAAAACCGAUUUCGGAUUUCAUGUCCAACCUAAACAACCUCUAAUCAUAAUUCCAAUUGACAGUGCAAUUUAGUACUCCAAUUACUUAAGUAUUUUCCUUGACUUCUAUGUUAUAGCUCUAGAUUAUUGUUCCUGAAGAACUAAAGUGUGUCAGUUUGCCAUUUUAACAUUUACAACGAUUAAAUGGAUCAACAAUUCACCCAAAAUGUGUUAAAAGUUCAGAACCUGACAUUACACUUAUGAAACUUAAACCCAAAUCAAAUUUCGUUUUUGAAAAACCUGUAAACUAGUAAAUACGGAUCAAUUUAUGCUUAUGCAAUUGUUAACUACACAUGAAGAACUAGCAUCAAUUUCUAUGUUUUUGUUGUUGUUAACAUUAAACUAAUAGUCAAACGAAAUUACACUAGAUUAACGAAUGUCUACAGUUCAAUAUAUAUCAAUCUAUUCAAAUCAGUUAGAAGUAGUUCUAAUUAAACAGUCCCCGGUCUAAUACAAACCAAACAAAUUAAAGCUAGAUAACUACACAUCAUUUGACUGACUAUAACUACAUGCAUCCAAACGAGCAUAUAUCUGGAAUACUAUUUCAUUUCAUUCUAAUUCGAGGCUACAUCAGUGUGAAUUCAAAGUGUGUACCUGAAAUUACAAUGAAAUAGAAGAGAGGAAGAUGAUCUGAAACAGUAGAUAGCAGACAAUAGAAAAAACUUUAGUCCAACACAGCCUCAAAAUCCCAGAAGUGAAAGAAGAAAAAGCAGCACCAGUAACAUGAUCUAAAUAGCCCAGAUAGAACCCAGCCAACUCGAAAUUACACCUUGAAUUACUUCUGCCAGUAUAUUACUCAAAAACAACAUGAAAUAACUCGAAAUUGGACUUCAAACUCUAGGAAUCAGAAUGAACAAUUAACUCGCCAUUAACCCAACAUUCCUUAAUGCAAUAGUACUUUUUUUUGAAUUUUCUCUCUCUUUUUUUUUUGUACUUUUUCUGAAGAUCUAAGAUCUAAAAGAGUUUUUGAAUUUGAAUUUCAAAUUAUCAAUUGAUGGAAACUAUAGAAUGUUUUUUGGGUAAAUAUUGGAUGCUAAAAACUUGUGAAUUAAGGCAUUGACACUGCCUUUUAUAGGCAAAAUGAGAGCAACCAUCAGAUUUUUAAUUUACACUAUUAGUCCCUCUUUUAUUUGUACUUUUUAGGUAGUUACUCCCUUAUUUACUGACUUAUUACCCAAGCUACCCCAUUAUGAAUCUGAAACUUCAACUAGAACCCCUUCUAGGUGUUUCUAGAAUUUUCUGAUUUCAGUUAUUACCAAAUUCCCUUUGUCCAAAAACUUAUACUACCCCUCAAUUCAACCUGAAAUUACCAACUCACUAUCAUCUAACCUAGCCCCCAUGAUUAACUAAAACCUAGAUUAUUUAGCCAUAACCAAAAUAAUUUCAGAAGCUACACGAUUGAAUUAAUAGCAAACUGAAAAUUAGUCUAGAUUCCUACUUCUAUCACUUUAUCAAUUAAACAAGAUUGACAAACAAAAUCAGACUAAACUUGAGUCAUGAAUUACCUAACUCACUUAAAUAUAAACUAUUAAAACACGAACACAAGAUUAACUAAUCAAAAUUACUAACUGAAAGCAGAAAAUAACAUCACUAAUCAAAAAUAAAAAACGAACCAGCAAAAUAAACAUGAACUAAAGUUAUGAUAAAAACAAGAACUAGCACAUGAAUACAACUACACACAGCUAAACAAAAUUAAACCAAAUUAAUCAUCAAAAAAAAAUGGAAACUCACUUAUUUAACUUCUAAAAUCCGGCUAAUUCUCAAAUUCUAAAUCCGACAUCUCUUGUGAAAUUUGAAUACUACUGAUGAUGAAUUCCUCAUGAGGGAAGUAAGGGGGUCACGUGGUAUCGAUUUGGUGAAGUUUGGAGAAUUUUGAGGUUUUGGCCGGAACUUUGAUCAGAUAUUUAAGGAGUUCGGCGGGGAUUCGAGGGACGGGGUUUGGAAAGAGGAGAACGAGGCGGUUUUAGGGUGUGAAUUUGAAGAGAUUGGGUAACUUUGGUUUUUUGCCGGAAUCUUUUGCGUCAAGAUUCGAAAGAACUGAUAGGGACUUGAGAGAAAUUGAUCAUGGAUUUGUAAUGAGAAGGUUGAAACGAUAUAGGGGUGUAAAUUUGGGGUGGUUUGGAGACCGGCCUCCGCCGUGGGCGAUUUUCGGCGAUGGCAGGCGGCAGAGAUGAAGAGGGGUCUCUAAGGGUAUGUUGAGGAUGAUGAGAGGGGGUUGGGGGGGAGGGGGGGUAGUUCGGAUAGUUAAAUAUCAAGAACACCCUACUUCAGGGUCGUUGGAUUGAGAUACC
This 9284-nucleotide long non-coding RNA is filed under the name Nicotiana benthamiana. Its description in RNAcentral is "long non-coding RNA (NBEN_LNC027664)". The record is from RNAcentral. Lineage: Eukaryota; Viridiplantae; Streptophyta; Magnoliopsida; Solanales; Solanaceae.